UUUUCUUUAUUCUCUAACUAACUAUCUAUCAUCUAUCUAUCUAUCUAUUCCAGGAUAUUACCCUUGGCUUCUCGUCGCCCUCUCCUGGAUAAAACUGUGAAUAGCCAUGUACAUCCACGCUACCUGAAAGAAGACAGCUUUCUGAAUCCAACGAUACCAGUUAUGCGCACGUCGGACCUCCGCUUCAAAAGAUACGGCCAGACAUCCACGCUACCUGAAAGAAGACAGAUUUCUGAAUCCAACGAUACCACUUAUGUGCACGUCGGACCUCCGCUUCAAAAGAUACGGCCAG
This is a long non-coding RNA of Megalobrama amblycephala (Wuchang bream), 292 nucleotides long. RefSeq lists it as uncharacterized. The transcript is spliced from 3 exons. NCBI's taxonomy places the organism in Eukaryota, Metazoa, Chordata, Actinopteri, Cypriniformes, Xenocyprididae. The record is from RefSeq and is a predicted model, not a curated record.